RNAcentral lists this ribosomal RNA (469 nucleotides) under uncultured bacterium. RNAcentral describes it as "bacterial SSU rRNA". It matches the Rfam family "Bacterial small subunit ribosomal RNA", at positions 97 to 520 of the family's 1533-position model. The record is from RNAcentral.
GGCAAACGGGUGAGUAAACACGUGGGUGACCUGACCUUCCGAGUGGUGGGAUAACCGUACCCCGAAAGGGACCGCUCAAUUACCGCAUGACAUCCUGCCCUUGAACUGGGUGGUAAGGAUCAACAGCUGGGGUAUCUGCAAGACCUUAGACGCUUGAGUGAGGGGCCCUGUGUCCGAUUAGCUAGUUAGGUCGAGGUAACGGCUCACCAAGGCGACGAUCGGUAGCCGGCCUGAUAGGGCGGACGGCCACACUGGGACUUGAGACACGGUCCAGACUCAUAACGGGAGGCAGCAGUGGGGAAUUGUUCGCAAUGGGCGCAAGCCUGACGACGCAACGCCGCGUGGAGGAUGAAGAUCUUCGGGUCGUAAACUCCUUUCGAUCGAGACGAACGGCUUCCGGGCUAAUCACCGGAAGAAGUGACGGUACCGAGAGAAGAAGCCCCGGCUAACUCCGUGCCAGCCGCCGCGG